Molecule: transfer RNA, 64 nt
Filed under: Cyphonia clavata
Lineage: Eukaryota; Metazoa; Arthropoda; Insecta; Hemiptera; Membracidae
Description: tRNA-Arg
Source: RNAcentral
AGUAUAAAAGUAAAAAUUACAAUUAAUUUCGACUUAAUAUAUGGAGAUAAUAAUCCUUAUACUU